GACGAACGCUGGCGGCGUGCCUAAUACAUGCAAGUCGAGCGGACGGAUGGGAGCUUGCUCCCUGAAGUCAGCGGCGGACGGGUGAGUAACACGUGGGCAACCUGCCCCUAAGAUCGGGAUAACUUCGGGAAACCGGAGCUAAUACCGGAUAUGAUCAUCCCUCACAUGAGAGAUGAUGGAAAGACGGUUUCGGCUGUCACUUAGGGAUGGGCCCGCGGCGCAUUAGCUAGUUGGUGAGGUAACGGCUCACCAAGGCGACGAUGCGUAGCCGACCUGAGAGGGUGAUCGGCCACACUGGGACUGAGACACGGCCCAGACUCCUACGGGAGGCAGCAGUAGGGAAUCUUCCGCAAUGGACGAAAGUCUGACGGAGCAACGCCGCGUGAGUGAAGAAGGUUUUCGGAUCGUAAAACUCUGUUGUCAGGGAAGAACAAGUACCAUAGUAACUGAUGGUACCUUGACGGUACCUGACCAGAAAGCCACGGCUAACUACGUGCCAGCCGCCGCCGUAA
This 512-nucleotide ribosomal RNA is filed under the name uncultured bacterium. RNAcentral's name for it is "partial 16S ribosomal RNA". It matches the Rfam family "Bacterial small subunit ribosomal RNA", at positions 28 to 523 of the family's 1533-position model. The record is from RNAcentral.